GUUUGAUGUAGAUGAAAUAUGUUACAAUUUGGUACAGAGUGGGCCUAAACUAAUCCCUUGAAUUUUGCAAAGACAUUGAGAUUCACCUGAAAACAAUAAGAAGGAAAUAAAUAUAAAGUCAGUUGGAACAGAGAAGGAGGCUACUACAUCUUUUGGCUACGACUAAGCUUGCCCUGAUGAGUGGAGACCUCUCUUCUUCUGGAGUUUCAGCCAAAAUUCACUGAACCUGUGAGCUGACAUCUUGGCUUGGUGGAUUUUCUCCCUUUAGUUGGGCAAUGCAAGUAUGGGCAGCCAAACAUCCAGGCCAUCUGAUCAGCAACCUUUAUUAGAUCAUACAGAUGAAGUACCACUCAUUGAGAAGAUCUCAGUUGUGGUUAUGGGACCUCAUGGAGUUGGAAAGAAUACAGUUGGGAAUGCUAUUCUUAAAAAGAAAGCCUUCACAUUCCAGGAUAGAUCUAAAAACUAUUACUUGAAGGAGGAAAACACAACAUUUGACAGACAUGUUUCUGUCAUUCGUGUCCCAGGCUGGUCUGCAGAUUUAACCUCUGAAAACAAUAUACAACUUUGGCAAGUGAUUAAAGACAGUCUGAGCAUAUUUUAAUCGCUUCAGUGGACAGAAAAAACAUUGUGGUUUGUCACAGUGAAAGAAAACAAACUGUCAUUAACAGAUGUAAAUAUCACUUAUUUGUAAGAUGCACAUGUGGACAGCAAAAUAAAAAGUUCAUUGAAACAAUUGAAGAUUUUAUUGUAUAUAAGGAAGACAUUCGUUUCUACACUGUGAGGAAAAAGGCACAAAAAAUGGAAUUGCAGCAUCAGGACCUGGCUAACCUUGUAGAUGGAUUAAACCACAAAAUUUCAGCUCUCUCAUGUUCCAAGGAUUCCAAUGAGCAUGUAAUACAAUCACAAAAAGCUGAAAUAAAGGAACUACAACGUCUGCUGAAAGAAAAGGAGCAUAUGUUGAGAGCCAAGGAGGAGGAGAUAAAAAGUUUAAAGUCAAAUCAAAAUCACACAAAGCUCUCUGCCCUGCACAAACAGCUUGAGCAUGCAGCAAUGAAAGAAAAAAAGCUUCAAGGAAUGGUUGGUGAAAUGAAAAAAAAUCUUGAAGAAAAAAAUAAAGAGAUAAAAGAACUGAGAAAAGAAAUCAAGCAUUGAAAUCUCAAAAUGAAAAUAAAAAAAGCACAAAACCACCAUCCAUGACUGGACGAAUGCAGAAGCCUACUAAUUCAGUUGAAUUAAUCCCCCUGAUCUCAACAG
Ictalurus punctatus (channel catfish) is the source of this 1254-nucleotide long non-coding RNA. The record is from Ensembl. NCBI's taxonomy places the organism in Eukaryota, Metazoa, Chordata, Actinopteri, Siluriformes, Ictaluridae.